RNAcentral lists this ribosomal RNA (289 nucleotides) under Orphnaeus brevilabiatus. RNAcentral's name for it is "partial 28S ribosomal RNA". It matches the Rfam family "Eukaryotic large subunit ribosomal RNA", at positions 960 to 1240 of the family's 3401-position model. The record is from RNAcentral. Lineage: Eukaryota; Metazoa; Arthropoda; Chilopoda; Geophilomorpha; Oryidae.
UCCGAAGUUUCCCUCAGGAUAGCUGGCGCUCGAGAAAACGCAGUCUCACCCGAUAAAGAGAAUGAUUAGAGGUUUUGGGGUCGAAACGGUCUCAACCUAUUCUCAAACUUAAAAUGGAUGAGAGAGCGAUCUUUUCCGGCCAAAGAUCGCUCCCGUUCGGAUGCGUGAGUGCCCAGUGGGCCACUUUUGGUAAGCAGAACUGGCGCUGUGGGAUGAACCAAAAGCAGGGGUUAAGGCGCCCGAUACAGACGCUCAUCAGAGCCCAUGAAAGGUGUUGGUGCUAUGACAG